GACGAACGCUGGCGGCGUGCUUAACACAUGCAAGUCGAACGGCAAGGCCCUGCUAUUGUGGGGUGCUCGAGUGGCGAACGGGUGAGUAACACGUGAGUAACCUGCCCUUGACUUUGGGAUAACUUCAGGAAACUGGGGCUAAUACCGGAUAGGAGCUCCUGCUGCAUGGUGGGGGUUGGAAAUUUGCGGCGGUUGGGGAUGGACUCGCGGCUUAUCAGCUUGUUGGUGGGGUAGUGGCUUACCAAGGCUUUGACGGGUAGCCGGCCUGAGAGGGUGACCGGCCACAUGGGGACUGAGAUACGGCCCAGACUGCUACGGGAGGCAGCAGUGGGGAAUAUUGCACAAGGGGCGGAAGCCUGAUGCAGCAACGCCGCGUGCGGGAUGACGGCCUUCGGGUUGUAAACCGCUUUCGCCUGUGACGAAGCGUGAGUGGCGGUAAUGGGUAAAGAAGCACCGGCUAACUACGUG
RNAcentral lists this ribosomal RNA (468 nucleotides) under uncultured bacterium. RNAcentral's name for it is "partial 16S ribosomal RNA". It matches the Rfam family "Bacterial small subunit ribosomal RNA", at positions 28 to 507 of the family's 1533-position model. The record is from RNAcentral.